This is a non-coding RNA of Chlorocebus sabaeus (green monkey), 1792 nucleotides long. Lineage: Eukaryota; Metazoa; Chordata; Mammalia; Primates; Cercopithecidae. The record is from RefSeq and is a predicted model, not a curated record.
AGAUGACCUGAGGAACCCUCUGAAGUCCCCGGAAGGGAAGCUCUGCCCCCUCAGGGAUGCCCGAGGGGAAUCAGGCCCAGGAAAAGUUGGAAUUCCACUUCGGAAGUUUUCGCCACCUCCCCCACCCGUUCCCAACUUGUGGUUCGGCCCCUGGGCAUCCCUAGCCCCAGGUCAGCCCUCCGGAAAUUCUGGCUCUUAAAGGGGCCGAGCGAAGGCGCUGGGCCUGGAACCGGUUUCCGCGUAGGAAUUCCCGCGACUAGCCACCUGCAACCGAGGUCCGGGGCGCGGCGCGGCGAUCAGCCUGCGCAGCGCUGGGCGCGACUCUGCUGUCUCCAGGUGGCGGCGAGGGGAAGCGCAUCCUGGGGGAACCCUGGGCGCUUCCUCGCGUUAGACUCCCCCAAGUUGCCAACUGGUCACUGGCUGGUUUCGGUACCCAUGCGUGCUUUUUUUACUGGCCCUGUUAACACUCAAGCCAGUUUACGUCCACCUGCUUACAGCCCUCCUGUGGCUCCUCCUCACUCUCAGCAGAAACUGACCUUCCCUCUCUUAUCUCACCUCCUCCCACUCUCUCUGGCUUACUCAGCUUCAGACACCCUGGCCUCCUCGCUGUUUCCAAAUAUGCUUCUCACAGUCCUCAGAGCCAUCGCCCGUGCUACUCCCUCUGCCAGAACACCCUUCCCGCAGAUGUUCACAUGAACUUCCUCCUCCGAGCGCUCUUUCCUCCUCCUUGGAAGAAACUGAAGAUGUUUGAGAUGGCAGUUGCUCCAUCACCCGGGUUCCUGAGUGAUUCCAAUACCGCUGCACAAUGACCAUUUGAUGACACAAACUGAACUGUACUCCUGGAAGCACAGUGGAUCAAGGUUCAUUCCAUUGCCUAGGCUGAUCCUCGAGUUUUGUGAGUGACUUCACAAUGGCCAGGAAGUUCCUAGCCUCCUUCUACAGCCUUGGUUCACCAUGCUGGACACCCUCUGGCUGCUUAGCCUUUCUCACCCUGCUCUUUGGGCCUAGAUGUUCAUCAGCUGUGCCUACAAGAACCUCUGCCAGCGAGCCCUACUCUCAGGCAGUGAUGCUGUCCUGAAGUGUGACCAUCCCAUGGCACUCUCUUCCAUUCUUGGGGAAGAUCCUUCUCUGCUUAAUUCAAUGCCUGACAUAAGGAAAUUGCCUGGGGGUAGCCUUCAACUGACCAACCCUCAGCCCUCCCAGCCCGGCCUCUAUCGCUGCCGGGGCAAUGAUGAUAGCCUCAUGGUGCAAUAUGAGAUCGACUUCAGGAUGUCACCAACCUUCAUGUUAUGCACAAGAGCCUGGACCAAAAGUCCUUGCAGAAUGAGACCCUGAUCCUGGAUGGCAAGGUACUCAUCUUUACCAACUGGGACCCCUGGCAGGACUGUAACCGCGGCGGGGAACCGGGUGAGCGCAAAUGCCUGGGGUACUGCUACACUGAGGAGCCGCUGGAAAAACCCGUGCCCUGCCGACUGUAUCUGAGAGACGAGAAGAUGCAAUUCAGCCACACGCGGCCCAAACUGCAGGUGGAAGCCUGCCACGUACCCUGCAACCUGGCCAAGGAAAUUCACCAGCCAUACCUCAUCUUUGACAUUUACCAGCCCAGCAAGUGGACGAACAACAAGUGGCUCACCUUGUCCCUUGGCCUCCAUCUACAGGUGACAGGACCAGAGCCGUAGCCCUGCCCUUGACCCUCACCCAGGCUUUGUUUUCUGUGCUCACCUGGGCUCGGGGUUACUUUCCAACAGAAAACCAGACUCGUUCUCCCAGCCCAUAAGCCUUCAUGGUGGUU